GUAGGUGGCAAGCGUUGUCCGGAAUUAUUGGGCGUAAAGCGCGCGCAGGUGGUUCUUUAAGUCUGAUGUGAAAGCCCCCGGGCUCAACCGGGGAGGGUCAUUGGAAACUGGGGAACUUGAGUGCAGGAGAGGAAAGUGGAAUUCCACGUGUAGCGGUGAAAUGCGUAGAUAUGUGGAGGAACACCAGUGGCGAAGGCGACUUUCUGGCCUGUAACUGACACUGAGGCGCGAAAGCGUGGGGAGCAAACAGGGUUAGAUACCCUGGUAGUCCACGCCGUAAACGAUGAGUGCUAAGUGUUGGGGGGUUUCCGCCCCUCAGUGCUGCAGCUAACGCAUUAAGCACUCCGCCUGGGGAGUACGGUCGCAAAGACUGA
Molecule: ribosomal RNA, 374 nt
Filed under: uncultured organism
Description: partial 16S ribosomal RNA
Rfam family: Bacterial small subunit ribosomal RNA
Source: RNAcentral